AGAGUUUGAUCCUGGCUCAGGACGAACGCUGGCGGCGUGCUUAAUACAUGCAAGUCGAACGGAGUUAAGGGUUUCGGCCUUUAACUUAGUGGCGAACGGGUGAGUAACGUCGUGAAUAACCUGACUCAAAGAGGGGAUAACAACGGGAAACUGUUGCUAAUACCGCAUGAGACCACAACACCGCAUGAUGAAGGGGUACGAAAG
This 204-nucleotide ribosomal RNA is filed under the name uncultured bacterium. Its description in RNAcentral is "partial 16S ribosomal RNA". It matches the Rfam family "Bacterial small subunit ribosomal RNA", at positions 8 to 206 of the family's 1533-position model. The record is from RNAcentral.